This 278-nucleotide unclassified non-coding RNA is filed under the name uncultured fungus. RNAcentral's name for it is "partial contains small subunit ribosomal RNA, internal transcribed spacer 1, and 5.8S ribosomal RNA". The stretch from base 1 to 73 matches the Rfam family "Eukaryotic small subunit ribosomal RNA", at positions 1759 to 1831 of the family's 1831-position model. The record is from RNAcentral. Lineage: Eukaryota; Fungi.
ACAAACUUGGUCAUUUAGAGGAAGUAAAAGUCGUAACAAGGUCUCCGUUGGUGAACCAGCGGAGGGAUCAUUACUGAGAUAUUACUCUUUAACCCCUGUUAUAUCUACCUGUCCUGUUGCUUUGGCAGGCGGUCCCAGGGCGGGACUGGUGGCCUUUUUAGGUGCCUGCCAGAGGUUUUUUAAACUAUUGUUAUUCAUGGAUAUCUGAGUUACUAUAUAAACGCAUUAAAACUUUCAACAACGGAUCUCUUGGUUCUGGCAUCGAUGAAGAACGCAGC